UUAGCCAGUUGGCGGGGUAACGGCCCACCAAAGCGACGAUCGGUAGCCGGCCUGAGAGGGUGGACGGCCACAUUGGGACUGAGACACGGCCCAAACUCCUACGGAAGGCAGCAG
This 114-nucleotide ribosomal RNA is filed under the name uncultured bacterium. RNAcentral's name for it is "partial 16S ribosomal RNA". It matches the Rfam family "Bacterial small subunit ribosomal RNA", at positions 241 to 354 of the family's 1533-position model. The record is from RNAcentral.